CGCACCUUGCGCUCCUUGGUAUUCCGAGGAGCAUGCCUGUUUGAGUCUCAUGGAAUUCUCAACCUUCGGCUUCAUUGACGAAGGCUUGGACUUGGAGGUCGUGCCGGCUCUCGUAGUCGGCUCCUCUGAAAUGCAUUAGUGCGAACGUUACCAGCCGCUUCAGCGUGAUAAUUAUCUGCGUUGCUGUGGAGGGUAUUCUAGUGUCCGCGCUUCUAACCGUCUUCGGACAAAUUUCUGAACUCUGAGCUCAAAUCAGGUAGGACUACCCGCUGAACUUAA
Molecule: unclassified non-coding RNA, 279 nt
Filed under: Bjerkandera adusta
Lineage: Eukaryota; Fungi; Basidiomycota; Agaricomycetes; Polyporales; Phanerochaetaceae
Description: partial contains 5.8S ribosomal RNA, internal transcribed spacer 2, and large subunit ribosomal RNA
Source: RNAcentral